This is a long non-coding RNA of Canis lupus familiaris (dog), 3244 nucleotides long. RefSeq lists it as uncharacterized. The transcript is spliced from 3 exons. Lineage: Eukaryota; Metazoa; Chordata; Mammalia; Carnivora; Canidae. The record is from RefSeq and is a predicted model, not a curated record.
CGCCCCGACCCCUGUCUCCCUCUGCCGGGGCGGGGGGGCGGGGGCUGCCCCCGGGCUGCAGGGCCUUGCACGCCGGGCCUGGGGAGAAACGAGUGGGCGAAACGGAGCGUUGGCUGCCACACCACAGAGACGCCUUGUCAUCUAAGGCUGAGUCCCGUUCAAAGCCGAAUUCCAGAGAUUGUGAAGAGCAAGAGGAAGGAGUAGGAGCCUGCAUGCUUGUUUGCUCCGCCAUGCCAUGGUGGUGAUGAGUGGGGCGAGGCUGCUGCAGAGAGGAGAGAAGAAAGGACAUGGAGCCUGUACCCAGGGAGCCUGUAUCCAAGGCGGCAGGAGGGUGGCUGGGGACCUGCCCACCCCUGAGAAGAAAACCCACGGCCUGGAGACAUCUAUUUUUUGUUGCAGAUUUGGAGAGUCAGGGACUCUUGUCUCAGAAGAGUGGGGGCCCUCGGGAAAAGGGGGGCCCUGAUGAAGCAACGGAACAACAGAGGCCCAGGAAGAGCCAAACUAAUAGAAACUAAGGACGGAGAAAAAUGAAUGAUGGUAUAAAUUGGGCAAACGUGACUUUACACCCUCUCAAGUCCUUUUGUACACCCCAGAUAUGCUGCUCAGUACAUCGUUCUUUCCUUCAUCCUUCAUGACACCCCCUCCUGAUCAUCACUUUCAGGAAAGAUGUAGAGACAAUGGAUCAUCAAAAAUAAGAGCAACAACAUGGAUGGAAUGAGUGAGGGGAACUUACGGGAAGCAAACAAAGGCAUGAAGCUAACAGAGGAGUUAGAAUGAGAAACAUUGUUCUUUCCAGUUCAAUACAAUCAAAUCUCAGAGUGGAUCUGGUAGUUAGCCUGUGUUUUUCACUUCCUAAAAAAAUAUAGGAUAAAAGCAACCACUUUGCUUAUAUCCAGAUUCCUUACUUCCAUGUAAAUAAUGGAGGGGUUAGGAAAUAAGAGUGAAAAUCUCCGUAGAUGAGGAAAUGAAGGGGAUUGGCAAGAUGUGGAAUCAGACGGUUAAUCAACAGAGGAAGGCUCCAAGCCGCGAGGAGGGGAGGGACCACAAAAGAAGGCUCCACAGGGGUGUGGUAUCCAGGACCAAGGAGCCCUGUCCCCACUCUCCAGCACCCCAGGCCACUUUCAUCUCAAGGGUCUACACUCAGUGAAAUGCUUUUUCGGCUCCUGUCUCCCCAUCAGUGUAUCAAUGUAUCCCCAGGGCAGUUUCUAACACAUAGUAGAUGGUCCAUCAGUGCUUGUUGGACUUGGGUCUAAGGGCCUUGGAUGGAAGAACCAGUACAAGGAAAACACAUCGUGUGAGAUGGAGAUGAUGAAAAACAGUAGUAAGGGGCAAAAGGAAAGACAUCUUUCAGGUGUUGGUUCAGAUCUUUCCUGAGCCUUCUAGGAUGGAGUGCUCCUCCUGUGGGUUUCCCCAGCAACAUGUGCUUCCUUCACUGCAGUGCACAGAGGCCUGAUGGGUAACUGCCUGUCUCUCUUCCCCCGUGAUCUUCAGGCUUUGAGCAGAUGGUGGGUGUGCCCAUCUGGCUCAUGAUGAUGUUCUAGAAUCUAGCAUGGUGCCUGGUUUAUUGUGGUUGUUCAAUAUAUAUUAUUUUUUUUUAAAGAUUUUAUUUUUAUUUUUUGAGAGACAGAGAGAGAGAGCACAAGUUGGGGGGAGGCAUAGAGGGAGAGGGAGAAGCAGACUCCCCGCUAAGCAGGGAGCCCAACGCCAGCUUCAUCCCAGGACCCCUGGAUCAUGACCUGAGCUGAAAGCAGAUGUUUGACUGAGCCACCCAGGACCCCCCCACUAUUUUGAAUGAGUGAGAAAAUGAGACCAAAGUUAAAGGAAGAGUCUCAUGAAGAAAUAAAGAAAUUUGUUUUAAAAAUGACAGAGGGCAUGAAAAGAUGUUUAGACACCUCUGAAUAAAGAAAUUUAAUUUGAAAAAAAUAAAGACUCUAUAGUGAGAAACAGGGAAGGACACUAUGAGAGCAAUGAUAAUGUGAUAUGAUCUAGAAUUUUGGUUUCCUUAUCUAUAAAAUGAAAUUAAUUAUCACACCUCCUUUUUGUAAGGGUUAAAUGACACCGUGUGUGAAGUGUUGAGUAUUUUGUGGCCUCUACAAUUAAGACUGUUAGGUUGUAAGUGAUAGAAGCCCAGUGUGAAGUUAUUUAUGAGAAAGAAAGAGGACAUUGUUUUACUGGCUUAUGUACCCAAGCCAAGAGGAGGGCAGGGAGGGGGCAGCAUGAGUACUGUGGUGAACCCCAGAUUCCCUUGGUGUGUUGGACUCAUCCUUUCCAACUCCAGCUGCUCCAGCUGUCUUUAGAAACCUGCCACUGUGGCCAACAUCAACUCCAGGUUCAUGGCAACAGUUUUUCAGAUAAAAAGGGAAACGGGGCUUCUCUCUCUGGACCCCAAAUCAACAGAGCCCAAGAAGAUCUGUGAUGAGUCCCAUCCGGUUGUGUCCUUACCUCUUAUGUUCCACACCAUGCUCAGGAACCUGAUGCACCAUGGAUGCCCUACUCUGGGUCACAUGCUGAAACUACUGAGCCACCCAGGUGCCCCACAUGCUCAUUUUUCAAAAGAGGACCAAAGCAUUGAAGAAAUCAGCAUAGUCCAGGACCUCAACCCAAUUUCUAUCUCUGAUAUUCAGUAAAUGAAAUCUAUUAAGGUAGGAGCAGUCAUAAUAAAAUGCAGUGAAGGAAAUAAGGAGAGGAAAUGAUCAAGUUUUCCUUCAAUUUGUCCACUCUGUCCUUAGUUUAAUAAUAUGGACCUGCCGCAGAUUUGUACCUUGGUCCCUACUCUGUAUCUGAUAGCUUAAAAAAUUGGAAGCCACACACUGCACUAUGUAGAAAUCCAUGUCCAGAUUUGGUUGACCUGUCAGCCACACUCAAGAUGAUCGGCACCUUGGCACUGUUUCCUUUUCCCUCCUCUUGUCUGAAUAAAUAAAUGUCAAAUUCCACAGAAGGCACCAUGCCUUCUAUUUUCUUUUGUGUACCUUACCUUGCCUUAUUCACAGGAUGCCAUGUUCCCAGUGUUUAUCGAGUGCCUUUUAAUAAUCAAAUGAACAAGCAAGUGGAUGAACAAGUAACAUCAUCAACCAUCAACCAUGUUACAAGAUGAAACUUGUGCGUCAAAAUGUUUUCUCUAAAAGUAACUGGGGGCGCCUGGCCAGCUCAGUAGGAAGAGCACACAGCUCUUCAUCUUCGGGUUGUGAGUUUGGGCCCCAUGUUGGACCCAAAGAGAUUACUUAAAUAUAUAAAAAAAACUUUA